GGGGCUUGUUGUUUACCUGGGGACUAAUGUCAACCUUGAGCCUAGGUAUCCACCUGGGGAAUAGUAUCCAGUUGCAGCCAGAUGUCCACCUAUGGCCUGAAGCAUGGUUGUUAUCCUAAGACCUUGUAUUAGUCCAUUUUCACACUGUUAUAAAAAACUACCUGAUAUUGGGCAACCUAUGAGGAAAAGAGGUUUAACUGACCCACAGUUCUUCAGGCUUAAUAGGGAGCAUGACUGGGCAUGCUCGGGACACUUACAAUCAUGAUGUAAAGCCAAGAGGAAGCAAGCCCUUUUUACCAUGGGGGAGGAGGAGGGAGAGAGAAGGGGGAUGUGCUACACACUUUCAAACAAACAGAUCUCAUAAGAACUCUAUCACGAGAACAGCAAGUGGGAAGUCUGCCCCCAUGAUUCAAUCACCUCUCACCAGGCCCCUUCUUCAACCCAUGUGGAUUACAAUUCAACAUGAGAUUUGGGUGGAGACAUAGAGCCAAUAUCAGGCCUGAUGCCCACCUGGAGUCGUGUCUACCUGAGGCCUAAUGUAGACAUGAGGCCUGGGCAUCCACCUAGGACCUCAUGUUAAGAUAGGGGCUGGAGUUCUUUUGGUGUCUAGUGUAUACCUGGGGCCCAGAUGUAAAACUAGAGCCUGAUGUUUCGGAUGGAAACCUGGGCCCCAGGUGCUCAUCAGAUCCUAGGUGAAAACUCAGGCUUCAGGUGCACGUCAGACUCCAAGUGGACACAUAGGCCCCAGGUUGACACUAAGAUUUCAGGUAGACUCUGGGUCCCAGAAAAACACCCCGCCCUAGGUGGACAGCUGAACCUGAGUAGACUUCAGGCCCCAGAUUGACAUCUGGCCCCAGGUAGAUUCCUAGGCCCAAGGUGAAUACUCAGUCUCCAGCCCUAGGGGAAUUCAGUCUUAGGUGACUAAGGACUGGUGUUCCUCUGGGGCCUCAUGUCUACCUGGGCCCUGGGAGUGCACAUGGAGCCAGAUGUCUAUAAAGGGCCUGAGUGUCCACUAGGGCCUGAGGUUCACCAGAAGCAUAGACACCCACCUAGGACCUCGUGUUCACCUAAAACCUGGUGUUCACCUGGGGCCUGGGUGACAACCUGGGAUCUGAUGUUCACCUGAGGCCCAGAGUUCAGCUGCUGCCUAUGUCAGCCUGGCACCUGAUGCACACGAGAGGACUAGGUGCCCACCUGAGGACUGGUGUUCUUGGGGAACUGGUGUUCAACUGUGGAUUGAUGACCAACUGGGUCCUGGUGUCCUCCUGGAACCUGAUGUCCACCUGGGACUGCAUGCUUACCUAGGGUCUGGUGUUCCUCUGGGACCUGGUGUACCCCUCAGACCUGGGGUCCACCUGGGCCUAGUAUCCACUUGGGGCCUCAUAUCCAUCUGGAACAUCAUGUCCAUUUGAGGCCUUGUAGUUACCUAGGGACUGGGUGUCCUUCUGACCCUUGAGUGUCCUCCUGGGGCCUGGGGUUCUCCUGGGGCCUGGGUGUACAUCAGAGCUCAGAUUGACACAAAGACCCCAGUAGAC
Molecule: long non-coding RNA, 1535 nt
Filed under: Homo sapiens (human)
Lineage: Eukaryota; Metazoa; Chordata; Mammalia; Primates; Hominidae
Description: HSALNT0274886
Source: RNAcentral